This 496-nucleotide ribosomal RNA is filed under the name uncultured bacterium. RNAcentral's name for it is "partial 16S ribosomal RNA". It matches the Rfam family "Bacterial small subunit ribosomal RNA", at positions 28 to 523 of the family's 1533-position model. The record is from RNAcentral.
GAUGAACGCUAGCGGCAGGCCUAAUACAUGCAAGUCGAGGGGUAGAAGAGGCUUGCUUCUUUGAGACCGGCGCACGGGUGCGUAACGCGUAUGCAACCUACCUUCAUCUGGGGGAUAGCCCGGAGAAUUCCGGAUUAAUACCGCAUAAAAUCACAGGAUGGCAUUAUCCAAUGAUUAAACAUUUAUGGGAUGGGAACGGGCAUGCGUGUCACUAGCUAGUUGGCGGGGUAAAGGCCCACCAAAGCGACGAUGACUAGGGGAUCUGAGAGGAUGGCCCCCCACACUGGUACUGAGACACGGACCAGACUCCUACGGGAGGCAGCAGUAAGGAAUAUUGGUCAAUGGAGGCAACUCUGAACCAGCCAUGCCGCGUGCAGGAAGACUGCCCUAUGGGUUGUAAACUGCUUUUAUUCGGGAAUAAACCUUAUUACGUGUAAUAAGCUGAAUGUACCGAAGGAAUAAGGAUCGGCUAACUCCGUGCCAGCCGCCGCAGUAA